RNAcentral lists this ribosomal RNA (329 nucleotides) under uncultured eukaryote. RNAcentral describes it as "partial 18S ribosomal RNA". It matches the Rfam family "Eukaryotic small subunit ribosomal RNA", at positions 1470 to 1796 of the family's 1831-position model. The record is from RNAcentral.
CCCCUAGACGUUCUGGGCUGCACGCGCGCUACAAUAAUACGCACAGCGAGUAUCACCGAGCUCGAAAGGGCAAGGUAAACAAUAGAAAAGGUACUGUAAUGGUUAUAGAUCCUUGUAAUUAUUGAUCUUCAACGAGGAAUUCCUAGUAAGUAUGUGUCAUCAUCACGCACUGAUUACGUCCCUGCCCUUUGUACACACCGCCCGUCGCUCCUACCGAUUGAAUGGUUUAGUGAGAUCUCCGGAUUGGCUCUGUAGGUCCCGCAAGGGAUUUAUUAGUAGCCAAGAAGCUGCUCAAACUUGAUCAUUUAGAGGAAGUAAAAGUCGUAACA